GUUAUCUGAUUGGCACACCGUAACUGCUCUAUUUCGUGCAUUUACACUUAAGCCUCUAAUAAUAGUUCUUUGAAAAGCACUGUCUUGUAUUUAACUGAUGAUUGGCUCCAGCAAUUAAAUCCUACCACACUUUAGAAUGCUGGACUAUUCUGCUGCUUCCCAGAGUUGGAAAGAAAGGAGUUGACUCACAUCUUACCCAUCUCACUCCAGGUCAGCAAUGGCACUGGAGGCAGUGCUGGGGAUACUGAGGAUAUUGCUGUUUUGAGUGGCAUGUGUUUGCUCUGGAGAAAACAUUCCAGAUGGUAUUUCUGGAAGAACUAGGGAUACAACAGAGAACACAACAGAUAAAGUCACCACUCUCAUGUGGCAUAUAUUCCAGCGGGGAGGAGCAGACCGACAGCAGAAUGGGUCAACGUAAGGAACGGCAGAUAACGGCUUCCCAGGAGCAGUCAUUUCUAACCUCUACUACGCAUCAGAGUCAUCCAGAGAGCUUGUUAAAACACAGAUUUCUGCGUCCCACCCUCAGAGUUUGCUGACUGAGAAGGUCUGGGUUGGACCAAAGAAUCUGCAUUUUUUAAAAGUUCCAUGGUCUAGGACCACACUUUGAGAACUGCUGUUCCAAAGAACCACCUGCUUUAUACUCUGGUUUCUCUUCGGAUCAUAUAAAUCUGCCUUUUAAAAAAGCACCUGUUGGAUCUAUGAAACUGAUGCAGCCGGUAGUUUCUCAUUAUGGUCUCAUUACCCUUUACAUUGAAAAAUACAAAGCCACUUCAAUUGCCAUUUCACAGUACAGCCCAUGGCCUGGAACGGGCACAGCUGCCCUCUUUAGGUUGAAAAUAUUUGGCAAAUAAGGAAUGCUGGCAAGAGAGGCUGCAGUUUUGACACCUACACCUUGAUUUGGGAUUCAUUUUUCUCACUCAGGAUUUGGCAAGCGUAUGUCUUCUUUAAAGUGAGACUGAAAAUAAGCUCUGACUCACAAACCUAGCUUAAAACACCACAAAGAGUAAACAACUAUUUCCAUAACUAAUAAUUAUUAAAAUAUGUUUUUGAGUUUUUGCAUAACUUGCCUGUAUAAUGAGAUCUAAGUAUUUACAUGGAAUUUCUACAUUACUGUGUGAAUAAAUUAACAGAACUAAAACCUGCCUCCUGACCUCUAGCCUCUCCCUGAUGUCAGCCUGUGCUCAACCCUG
RNAcentral lists this long non-coding RNA (1190 nucleotides) under Homo sapiens (human). RNAcentral describes it as "HSALNT0146174". The record is from RNAcentral. Lineage: Eukaryota; Metazoa; Chordata; Mammalia; Primates; Hominidae.